RNAcentral lists this ribosomal RNA (273 nucleotides) under uncultured bacterium. RNAcentral describes it as "partial 16S ribosomal RNA". It matches the Rfam family "Bacterial small subunit ribosomal RNA", at positions 524 to 796 of the family's 1533-position model. The record is from RNAcentral.
UACGUAGGGGGCAAGCGUUGUCCGGAUUUAUUGGGCGUAAAGAGCGUGUAGGCGGCCACACAGGUCCGUUGUGAAAACUCGAGGCUCAACCUCGAGACGUCGAUGGAAACCGUGUGGCUAGAGUCCGGAAGAGGAGUGUGGAAUUCCUGGUGUAGCGGUGAAAUGCGCAGAUAUCAGGAAGAACACCUAUGGCGAAGGCAGCACUCUGGGACGGUACUGACGCUGAGACGCGAAAGCGUGGGGAGCGAACAGGAUUAGAUACCCCGGUAGUCC